GGACGAACGCUGGCGGCGUGCUUAACACAUGCAAGUCGAGCGAGGACUUUCUCUUCGGAGGGAUGCUCUAGCGGCGAACGGGUGAGUAACACGUGGGCAACCUGCCCCUAGCUCUGGGAUAAGCCCGAGAAAUCGGGUCUAAUACGUGGAUAUUCACGACAUAGGGCAUCUUGUGUUGUGGAAAGGGGUUUCUGGCUGGGGAUGGGCCCGCGGCCUAGUCAGCUUGUUGGUGGGGNGAUGGCCUACCAAGGCGACGACGGGUAGCCGGCCUGAGAGGGCGACCGGCCACACUGGGACUGAGACACGGCCCAGACUCUUACGGGAGGGCAGCAGUGGGGAAUAUUGCACAAUGGGCGGAAGCCUGAUGCAGCGACGCCGCGUG
This 382-nucleotide ribosomal RNA is filed under the name uncultured bacterium. RNAcentral's name for it is "bacterial SSU rRNA". It matches the Rfam family "Bacterial small subunit ribosomal RNA", at positions 27 to 403 of the family's 1533-position model. The record is from RNAcentral.